RNAcentral lists this transfer RNA (22 nucleotides) under Carlia amax. Its description in RNAcentral is "partial tRNA-His". The record is from RNAcentral. Lineage: Eukaryota; Metazoa; Chordata; Lepidosauria; Squamata; Scincidae.
AGAAUGUGGACCUAAAAAUAGA